Molecule: long non-coding RNA, 216 nt
Filed under: Daucus carota (carrot)
Lineage: Eukaryota; Viridiplantae; Streptophyta; Magnoliopsida; Apiales; Apiaceae
Description: long non-coding RNA (DCAR_LNC004943)
Source: RNAcentral
UUUAGCGUUGUUUAGUUCUCUAUGGGGAGAUUAUCUUUUGGUACAGGAAGUAUUGUACACGUUCCUUGACCUAUUUGAUACCACAUAUCCUUGGAGGAUUCCACAACUAAGGGGGAGAAUAUAUUUAGGGGGAGAAUUUAUGAAAGGGGGAAGAAAAAGUAAGUUAGCUUUCUUCUAUUGUCUACAACUAAGGGGGAUUAAACUACUCUUUAGCUG